RNAcentral lists this unclassified non-coding RNA (228 nucleotides) under Hevea brasiliensis (rubber tree). Lineage: Eukaryota; Viridiplantae; Streptophyta; Magnoliopsida; Malpighiales; Euphorbiaceae. The record is from RNAcentral.
UUGCAUUUGAUCCAAAAUCAGGCUUAGAUGUGUGGAAUGCCUUAAUUUUAUCGAGUGCAAAUAUUCUGAAUUUCUAAUAGACCAAUGUCCAGCAUUGUAACUCAGUAAAUGCUUUUUUUGUUUUCUCCUCUUUCACUUCUUUUUGCUUCAUGCAUAUAUGAAUUGAUUGCUUUCAUAUGUAGUCCUAUAUGGUUGGGUGAAAUGUAGUCGUGCUCUGUGGUAUCUGAA